ACGGCGAGUGAAGCGGCAAAAGCUCAAAUUUGAAAUCUGGUACCUUCGGUGCCCGAGUUGUAAUUUGGAGAGGGCAACUUUGGGGCCGUUCCUUGUCUAUGUUCCUUGGAACAGGACGUCAUAGAGGGUGAGAAUCCCGUGUGGCGAGGAGUGCGGUUCUUUGUAAAGUGCCUUCGAAGAGUCGAGUUGUUUGGGAAUGCAGCUCUAAGUGGGUGGUAAAUUCCAUCUAAAGCUAAAUAUUGGCGAGAGACCGAUAGCGAACAAGUACAGUGAUGGAAAGAUGAAAAGAACUUUGAAAAGAGAGUGAAAAAGUACGUGAAAUUGUUGAAAGGGAAGGGCAUUUGAUCAGACAUGGUGUUUUGUGCCCUCUGCUCCUUGUGGGUAGGGGAAUCUCGCAUUUCACUGGGCCAGCAUCAGUUUUGGUGGCAGGAUAAAUCCAUAGGAAUGUAGCUUGCCUCGGUAAGUAUUAUAGCCUGUGGGAAUACUGCCAGCUGGGACUGAGGACUGCGACGUAAGUCAAGGAUGCUGGCAUAAUGGUUAUAUGCCGCCCGUCUUGAAACACGGAC
Molecule: ribosomal RNA, 566 nt
Filed under: Saccharomyces cerevisiae (brewer's yeast)
Lineage: Eukaryota; Fungi; Ascomycota; Saccharomycetes; Saccharomycetales; Saccharomycetaceae
Description: partial large subunit ribosomal RNA
Rfam family: Eukaryotic large subunit ribosomal RNA
Source: RNAcentral